Molecule: long non-coding RNA, 1507 nt
Organism: Tetranychus urticae (two-spotted spider mite)
Lineage: Eukaryota; Metazoa; Arthropoda; Arachnida; Trombidiformes; Tetranychidae
Source: RefSeq, a predicted model, not a curated record
AGAAAAUAUAAAUCGCAGUUUUGCCCGAAGAGUUAAUUUGCCUAAUUUUAAGAUAAACUUGGUAUUUUAUUUAACAAACUCAAUUCUUCACCAGUUAUUUAAGCGUCCAUGGCUUCAAAUGUUUAAUAAAUUACAACAAUACUCGACCCCUAAAUCUGAAAUUUUAUUUUACCUCCACUUGGAAUACUAUUUGGUUCAAAUGUGAUGCUAAUUGUUUAGAAUACAUUUCCUUCUAUGUAUUUCUUGCCUUACCUUUUGGAGUUUAUUUUAAUGCUGAGUUUUCCCUUUGAGCCUUUUCUUCAUUUACCGGUGAUUAAAUUGGCAAUAAAAACAAGAAAUUAUCAACUAAACUCGAAACUUUGGUUCGUUCUCAACAAAUUUCCUCAACACGAUAAAUAUCGACCAAAUAUAAAAGUGGUAUCAAGAUUUUUCAAGCAACAUGGUUUCAGUCGGUCAUAAGCUGUAGUUAUGAGGAGUACAUAGCAAAAUAUUAUAUUUGGGACAAUAUGUAAUCAUAAUUGUACAAGAAGCAAUCGAAGUUUGAACUUUGCUUUUAUCAAAAAACUGUUGACCAGAAAAAUUUUUAUUUGGCAAAUGGACGUCUCUGUGUCUCUGGCAGGACGUCAAGUUUCAACUCUUAACUCGACAGUCAAGCUUUUGCUCCUUGGCGGACAAAUAAACUCUUUCUGUACCAUAAAACGUUAAUGAACAAGUAACGUUAUUAACAAACCAGAAUUGAGACAAAACAGCAGACGAAAGAUAAGACAAGAGUUGAAACAAAAGACGAAAUAUGAGCACAUUAAUUUUUGGCUAUUAAAUAAUAACUCGAUGGACUAAUUGACAUUCAGUGAUGGAUAUUAUUGUAAAUAGUUUACACAUGUUUCUCAAUCAACUUGACGUUUAUAGCAUUGUUGGUGAAAUACUGUUGAUGAUCCAUCAAAUUUGUGACUGGUUUACACUUUCAUUUUCAGUUUUCAAGUUAUAGUCACAUUGGUCAUGGAUGACAAUUGAUUAAAGAGAUGACAAUUAAACAGUUUAGUAAAACAAAAAGGCAGCAAGGAUCAAAGUUGAAAUGUGGCCGAUGGAUUCCUCUCAACUGGUCGUAAAAAGGUUGUAAAAAGACACGCGAAUACAGUUUUGAAAUUAUGGGGAAAAUAUCUGAAGUGCUUUCUAUUGACCAUACAAAUGAUAUUCCGAUAAAUUUAGAGGCAACAGAAGCUAAUUACACCCAAUUAAGGUUUCAAUUAAAUAGCUACUCAAUUCUUCGGUCUUAAUAUUUUGGAAUCAACAAGUUUAAUGAAUAAGCUUGAAAUGACUUGAAAGCUUUUCCUACGCAUAAUAAGUAAAAAUAGCUCAUCUAAUCAUUUCGACUGGAUUUACUUGGAAUUGUUAAACAUAGCAAAAGCUUAAAGCCUAUAACCAUAAUUAGCUUUGUUGUGCUCAUUCUCAUUAUACUCGUAGUUAAAUGUAAAUUGUAAAUGAGUUAAAUAAACUUAUUUGGUAGCGA